AUUUCUUUAAACGAUUCGUUUAUGUUCACGUGGAUUUUUUUCACACGAUUCGUUUGUUUUGAUUCCAUUUUUACAUGAUUCAUUUAUUUUCACGCGAUUCUUUACAGACGAUCCAUUCAUUUCCCCGUGUGUUUUUAACGUGAUUCAUUUAUGUUCACAUGCAAUAUUCUUCAUGUGAUUCAUUCAGUUUGAUGGGUUUUUUUUUUUUUUUACAUGAAUCGUUUAAUUUCACAGGCGUUGAUUCAGUUAUUCUCACGUCAAUAUGCAUGUUUUUAUUUUAAGAUGUGACCACUUUCCACGUCAUCACAUUGUUCGUGUCAUGUCACGUGUCGACGUGUGCACUUUCAGAGCAUAACAUGUUGAACUGCACGUUCACACCUUUUCCACGUGAUCUCAUAUUACUCGUAUAACCCCAGGUUUUUUUCCAUACACAUCUGAUGACUGCAAUUCAGGACUGUUUGUUUCUGGUCUCACAGUUGGACGGAACGUAUCCUCUUUAUUUGAGGAAUAAUCCUGGCUCACGCCUCGCAGUUUUCUUGGCUUUAGAGCAUCUGUGAUGAAAUCUACAUGAAGGGGAGAAGAGGAUGAGAGGACGAGAGACAGCAAUGCCAGACUCUGCAACCGUCACGCGUUAGCCUGCUGUUUAGAAUGCUUUAAUUUCCUUGACAUAGCGACGCUUUUAUGAUUUAUGCUUUCAGGUAUUUUUUUUUCCCCUUUUCCCUCAGGAAUCAGCGUGAGAACAAAAAACACCGGCAAUAAGCUGGAUAAAGUGCCUGUGUCUCUUCUGCCCCUAUUUAUAUCUAUUAUUCAGGUGUCCCGAGGGAGAGCGACAAUGAAAGAGAUGACACACACACACACACACACAGAGCACUGACACCAGUAAUAAAACAUAAAAGAAGAAAAACCAUCUCUGUCACUGUAAGUGAUGAAGAACUGAUAAAGCUCUGAAUAUAUAUCCAACAUCCUCGAGAAUAUCCACUCUGGGGACUGAGCGAGUGAUUUGCACAGAUUUUUCAUCAUAAGAUUCCUAACAAACGUAACAUUUAAGUUCAUUCACUGUGGCCUGUGAGAUUUAUUAAAAAUACAGUCAUUACUCAGAACCACAGCGGGGCCGAGCGGGGCGGCGGUGUUAAUAGAGUUUCCCAUCAAAAGCUAGGAGAAAAGACCAAUUCAGAACACAGAAUCUUUUUUUUUCCCCCCAUAAGAGUUGUGUUUCGAUGUUUCCGAGAUUAUCACACAACCUCACUCGCCUCAAAGACCUCUCAGUGUGCAGCGGAUCCGCUCUGUCACGAUGCUCCGAACACACACCUCACCUCACCUCACCUCACGAUCACGCUAACAAACAGCAAGGAUGUUGAAAACCGGUUUCCAUGGAAAUGUAUCGAUUCAAUUAUACUGAAAGGGUAACAACGUCGUUGUAAUCUACAACGACAAAAAGAAUCAUUUGUAUGAAUAUAUACGAGUCAGUCGACUCAAAGCUAAAAGAGCGUGUGUAUUGAACGUGUGUAUUGUACGUGUGCAGCGAGCGUGUGCAGCGAGCGUGUGUAUUGAGCGUGUGCAGCGAGCGUGUGCAGCGAGCGUGUGUAUUGAACGUGUGUAUUGAACGUGUGCAGCGAGCGUGUGUAGCGAGCG
Molecule: long non-coding RNA, 1632 nt
Organism: Ictalurus punctatus (channel catfish)
Lineage: Eukaryota; Metazoa; Chordata; Actinopteri; Siluriformes; Ictaluridae
Source: Ensembl